Molecule: ribosomal RNA, 501 nt
Filed under: uncultured bacterium
Lineage: Bacteria
Description: partial 16S ribosomal RNA
Rfam family: Bacterial small subunit ribosomal RNA
Source: RNAcentral
AUUGAACGCUGGCGGCAUGCCUUACACAUGCAAGUCGAACGGCAGCACGGGUGCUUGCGCCUGGUGGCGAGUGGCGAACGGGUGAGUAAUACAUCGGAACGUACCUUAUCGUGGGGGAUAACGCAGCGAAAGCUGUGCUAGUACCGCAUACGCCCUGAGGGGGAAAGCGGGGGAUCGCAAGACCUCGCGCGAUUAGAGCGGCCGAUGCCUGAUUAGCUAGUUGGUGGGGUAAAAGCCCACCAAGGCGACGAUCAGUAGCUGGUCUGAGAGGACGAUCAGCCACACUGGGACUGAGACACGGCCCAGACUCCUACGGGAGGCAGCAGUGGGGAAUUUUGGACAAUGGGGGCAACCCUGAUCCAGCAAUGCCGCGUGAGUGAAGAAGGCCUUCGGGUUGUAAAGCUCUUUUGUCAGGGAAGAAACACCGGCUCUAACACAGUCCGGGGAUGACGGUACCUGAAGAAUAAGCACCGGCUAACUACGUGCCAGCCGCCGCGGUAA